GACGAACCGUGCGAACGUUGUUCGGAAUCACUGGGCUUAAAGGGUGCGUAGGCGGGUUGUCCAGUCUGGGGUGAAAUCCCACGGCUCAACCGUGGAAUUGCCUCAGAUACUGACGACCUCGAGGGAGGUAGGGGCGAGCGGAACUGUGGGUGGAGCGGUGAAAUGCGUUGAUAUCCACAGGAACUCCGGUGGCGAAGGCGGCUCGCCGGACCGCUUCUGACGCUGAGGCACGAAAGCUAGGGGCGCAAACGGG
This 253-nucleotide ribosomal RNA is filed under the name uncultured bacterium. Its description in RNAcentral is "partial 16S ribosomal RNA". It matches the Rfam family "Bacterial small subunit ribosomal RNA", at positions 524 to 776 of the family's 1533-position model. The record is from RNAcentral.